UGAACGCUGGCGGCGUGCUUAACACAUGCAAGUCGAACGAGAAAGGGAUUGCUUGCAAUCCUGAGUAGAGUGGCGCACGGGUGAGUAACACGUAGAUAAUCUACCUUCAAGACCGGGAUAACUAAUCGAAAGGCUAGCUAAUACCGGAUGAAGUAUAUGAACAAAAGUUUAUAUAUGAAAGGUUGCCUCUUCAUGAAAGCAAUCACUUGGAGAUGAGUUUGCGUACCAUUAGCUUGUUGGUGGGGUAAAGGCCUACCAAGGCUACGAUGGUUAGCUGGUCUGAGAGGAUGAUCAGUCACACUGGAACUGGAACACGGUCCAGACUCCUACGGGAGGCAGCAGUGAGGAAUUUUGCGCAAUGGGGGUAACCCUGACGCAGCAACGCCGCGUGAGUGAAGAAGGCCUUUGGGUCGUAAAGCUCUGUCAACUGGGAAGAAGUUAAGAUAUAUUAAUAGUGUAUUUUAUUGACGGUACCAGUGGAGGAAGCGCCGGCUAACUCC
Molecule: ribosomal RNA, 500 nt
Filed under: uncultured bacterium
Lineage: Bacteria
Description: bacterial SSU rRNA
Rfam family: Bacterial small subunit ribosomal RNA
Source: RNAcentral